Molecule: ribosomal RNA, 253 nt
Filed under: uncultured bacterium
Lineage: Bacteria
Description: partial 16S ribosomal RNA
Rfam family: Bacterial small subunit ribosomal RNA
Source: RNAcentral
UACAGAGGGUGCGAGCGUUGUCCGGAAUCACUGGGCGUAAAGGGCGCGUAGGUGGUGACCUAAGCGUGCGGUGAAAGCCCGAGGCUCAACCUCGGGUCGGCCGUGCGAACUGGGUCACUGGAGCAGAAUAGAGGCAGGUGGAAUUCCGGGUGUAGCGGUGGAAUGCGUAGAGAUCCGGAAGAACACCGGUGGCGAAGGCGGCCUACUGGGUUCUGGCUGACACUGAGGCGCGACAGCGUGGGGAGCAAACAGG